Molecule: ribosomal RNA, 429 nt
Filed under: Chloroflexota bacterium
Lineage: Bacteria; Bacillati; Chloroflexota
Description: Chloroflexi bacterium partial 16S ribosomal RNA
Rfam family: Bacterial small subunit ribosomal RNA
Source: RNAcentral
UGGGGAAUAUUGCACAAUGGGCGCAAGCCUGAUGCAGCCAUGCCGCGUGUAUGAAGAAGGCCUUCGGGGUGUAAAGCACUUUCAGCGGGGAGGAAGGCGAUAAGGUUAAUAACCUUGUCGUUUGACGUUACCCGCAGAAGAAACACCGGCUAACUCCGUGCCAGCAGCCGCGGUAAUACGGAGGGUGCAAGCGUUAAUCGGAAUUACUGGGCGUAAAGCGCACGCAGGCGGUCUGUCAAGUCGGAUGUGAAAUCCCCGGGCUCAACCUGGGAAGUGCAUUCGAACCUGGCAGGCUAGAGUCUUGUAGAGGGGGGUAGAAUUCCAGGUGUAGCGGUGAAAUGCGUAGAGAUCUGGAGGAAUACCGGUGGCGAAGGCGGCCCCCUGGACAAAGACUGACGCUCAGGUGCGAAAGCGUGGGGAGCAAACAGG